CAGUACAAUCACUAGUGAAGCAAUGAUCAUUCGACGUGUCAGGCAAUAUGUAUCGCUAAUCAGUUUCUAACAUCUCAUGAUUGUAAGCUAAUUUUGAAGCAUCACAAUGUAAUCGAGUAUGCUUUGUACUAAUCUAUACCUGAAUUCUAUCAGUCCUGUGCUAACCUGAAUUUGGAAGCAACUGUAUCUGCUCUUAGCUAGCGAGAAUAUGCACAAGUAGCAGCUCAAAAGCAAGAAAGAAACAAACAACGCCCUGUUCUACAAAUUUCUUGGUCCUCUUUCUGCUAAUUUGACUUCAAGCAAUCAUAAGUGAGUUGCAUUCCGGCAGCAACUCAUGUCAAUCAAAAUUUGGAACUCAGCGAUAUUAGAAGAAGCUACAAAAGCAACGAGUUGAACCAAAGCCAAAGAACAAGAGAACCAGUGUUUUACCCGUCACUUGCGCUCCAUCAAACUUGGCAUAAGCCUCCAGAUUUCGCCUCUCAGCUUUAUCCACCGCAUCGGCAUCGGCCUCCUCCUUCACGGCGGCAAACCAUCUGUUCUUCCCGUCCAUGCGCCCGCCCUAAUCGACACAGCAAUCGCAGACCACCACUCGCAAUCAUGCCCAUCGUUCUGCUGCGGCGUGAACCCUUCCACGAACACCACCGCUGGCGAACCACACCCUCCUGACGUGAACCCUUCACCCCGUUGAACGACGGCCUUGAUGCCAGGAGAUCAAUCAGUUCGUGCCGCCGGUUGAGGCCAGGGCAGCUAUCGUGGUGCACGAACUGAUCCAUCUCCUGGCAUCAAGGGCGUCGUUGAACGGAACGAAGUCCCAGUCGAGGAGGCGGAGGGUUUUAGGGGGUGGGGGCAGUUUGGGGAGCCAGAACGAGACGGAGGGCUUGGGAGGCGGACGAAGUAGAACUGAAUGAGAGGCGGUCGUUGAGGGGCUUGGAUGGAAGUGGAGGUCGGAUCGCCUCAGAACCAACGUCGC
RNAcentral lists this long non-coding RNA (970 nucleotides) under Musa acuminata (dwarf banana). RNAcentral describes it as "long non-coding RNA (MACU_LNC004184)". The record is from RNAcentral. Lineage: Eukaryota; Viridiplantae; Streptophyta; Magnoliopsida; Zingiberales; Musaceae.